RNAcentral lists this ribosomal RNA (658 nucleotides) under uncultured Bacilli bacterium. RNAcentral's name for it is "bacterial SSU rRNA". It matches the Rfam family "Bacterial small subunit ribosomal RNA", at positions 64 to 708 of the family's 1533-position model. The record is from RNAcentral. Lineage: Bacteria; Bacillati; Bacillota; Bacilli.
ACGCUGAAGGAGGAGCUUGCUUCUCUGUGAUGAGUUGCGAACGGGUGAGUAACGCGUAGGUAACCUGCCUGGUAGCGGGGGAUAACUAUUGGAAACGAUAGCUAAUACCGCAUAAGAGUAGAUGUUGCAUGACAUUUGCUUAAAAGGUGCAAUUGCAUCACUACCAGAUGGACCUGCGUUGUAUUAGCUAGUUGGUGGGGUAACGGCUCACCAAGGCGACGAUACAUAGCCGACCUGAGAGGGUGAUCGGCCACACUGGGACUGAGACACGGCCCAGACUCCUACGGGAGGCAGCAGUAGGGAAUCUUCGGCAAUGGACGGAAGUCUGACCGAGCAACGCCGCGUGAGUGAAGAAGGUUUUCGGAUCGUAAAGCUCUGUUGUAAGAGAAGAACGAGUGUGAGAGUGGAAAGUUCACACUGUGACGGUAUCUUACCAGAAAGGGACGGCUAACUACGUGCCAGCAGCCGCGGUAAUACGUAGGUCCCGAGCGUUGUCCGGAUUUAUUGGGCGUAAAGCGAGCGCAGGCGGUUAGAUAAGUCUGAAGUUAAAGGCUGUGGCUUAACCAUAGUACGCUUUGGAAACUGUUUAACUUGAGUGCAAGAGGGGAGAGUGGAAUUCCAUGUGUAGCGGUGAAAUGCGUAGAUAUAUGGAGGAACA